CAUUCCAGGCGGCGGAGGCGGAGGCGGAGGUGAAGGAGGAGGUGGUAUGGGGCCAUCCGGCGGCGGGGGCGGUGGAGGAGGAGGCGAGGGAGGAGGGGGGGACGGCGGCACGGGGCUCGGCGGAGGCGCGUCGGGUGGAGGUGGAGGAGGAGGCGACGGCGGCACAGGGCUCGGCGGAGGCGCGUCCGGAGGAGGCGGAGGAGGAGGCGAUGGCGGCACAGGGCUCGGCGGAAGCGCGUCCGGUGGAGGCGGAGGAGGAGGCGACGGCGGCUCAGGGCUCGGCGGAGGCGCGUCGGGUGGAGGUGGAGGAGGCGGCGACGGCGGCACAGGGCUCGGCGGAGGCGCGUCGGGUGGAGGUGGAGGAGGAGGCGACGGCGGCACAGGGCUCGGCGGAGGCGCGUCCGGAGGAGGUGGAGGAGGAGGCGACGGCGGCUCAGGGCUCGGCGGAGGCGCGUCCGGCGGAGGCGGAGGAGGAGGCGACGGCGGCACAGGGCUCGGCGGAGGCGCGUCCGGAGGAGGCGGAGGAGGAGGCGAUGGCGGCACAGGGCUCGGCGGAAGCGCGUCCGGUGGAGGCGGAGGAGGAGGCGACGGCGGCUCAGGGCUCGGCGGAGGCGCGUCGGGUGGAGGUGGAGGAGGCGGCGACGGCGGCACAGGGCUCGGCGGAGGCGCGUCGGGUGGAGGUGGAGGAGGAGGCGACGGCGGCACAGGGCUCGGCGGAAGCGCGUCCGGUGGAGGCGGAGGAGGAGGCGACGGCGGCUCAGGGCUCGGCGGAGGCGCGUCGGGUGGAGGUGGAGGAGGCGGCGACGGCGGCACAGGGCUCGGCGGAGGCGCGUCGGGUGGAGGUGGAGGAGGAGGCGACGGCGGCACAGGGCUCGGCGGAGGCGCGUCCGGCGGAGGCGGAGGAGGCGGUGAAGGCGGCAUAGGGCUCGGUGGAGGCGCGCCGGGUGGAGGUGGAGGAGGAGGCGACGGCGGCUCGGGGCUUGGCGGAGGCGCGUCGGGUGGAGGUGGAGGAGGAGGCGAAGGCGGCACGGGGCUCGGCGGAGGCGCGUCGGGUGGAGGCGGAGGAGGAGGCGACGGCGGCACGGGGCUCGGCGGAGACGCGUCUGGUGGAGGCGGAGGAGGCGAUGGCGGCUCGGGGCUUGGCGGAGGUGCGUCCGGCGGAGGCGGAGGAGGAGGCGACGGCGGCUCGGGGCUUGGUGGAGGCGCGUCGGGCGGAGGCGGAGGAGGAGGCGACGGCGGCACAGGGCUCGGCGGAGGCGCGUCCGGAGGAGGCGGAGGAGGAGGCGACGGCGGCAUAGGGCUCGGUGGAGGCGCGUCGGGUGGAGGUGGAGGAGGAGGCGACGGCGGCUCGGGGCUCGGCGGAGGCGCGUCGGGCGGAGGCGGGGGAGGAGGCGAAGGCGGCUCAGGGCUUGGCGGAGGUGCGUCGGGCGGAGGCGGAGGAGGAGGCGAUGGCGGCUCAGGGCUCGGCGGAGGUGCGUCCGGAGGAGGCGGAGGAGGAGGCGACGGCGGCACAGGGCUCGGCGGAGGCGCGUCGGGUGGAGGUGGAGGAGGAGGCGAAGGCGGCUCGGGGCUCGGCGGAGGCGCGUCGGGUGGAGGCGGGGGAGGAGGCGAAGGCGGCUCGGGGCUUGGCGGAGGUGCGUCGGGCGGAGGCGGAGGAGGAGGUGAAGGCGGCUCGGGGCUCGGCGGAGGCGCGUCCGGCGGAGGUGGAGGAGGAGGCGAAGGCGGCUCGGGGCUUGGCGGAGGUGCGUCCGGCGGAGGCGGAGGAGGAGGCGAUGGCGGCUCGGGGCUCGGCGGAGGCGCGUCGGGUGGAGGUGGAGGAGGAGGCGACGGCGGCACAGGGCUUGGCGGAGGCGCGUCCGGCGGAGGUGGAGGGGGAGGCGAAGGCGGCUCGGGGCUUGGCGGAGGUGCGUCCGGCGGAGGCGGAGGAGGAGGCGAUGGCGGCACAGGGCUCGGCGGAGGCGCGUCAGGUGGAGGCGGAGGAGGAGGCGACGGCGGCUCGGGGCUUGGCGGAGGCGCGUCGGGUGGAGGCGGAGGGGGCGAUGGCGGCUCGGGGCUUGGAGGUUCAGGUGAUGGAGGGUCAGAGAUAGCACAUGACUUCUGUGCCUGCCCAGACAGGCACGAUAAACGGUCUGACGUUGCAAGUGUGUCUGUGCUUCCCUGAACACU
Molecule: long non-coding RNA, 2166 nt
Filed under: Chlamydomonas reinhardtii
Lineage: Eukaryota; Viridiplantae; Chlorophyta; Chlorophyceae; Chlamydomonadales; Chlamydomonadaceae
Description: long non-coding RNA (CREI_LNC001135)
Source: RNAcentral